This 64-nucleotide transfer RNA is filed under the name Planostrea pestigris. RNAcentral describes it as "tRNA-Met". It matches the Rfam family "tRNA". From Rfam's summary of the family: Transfer RNA (tRNA) molecules are approximately 80 nucleotides in length. Their secondary structure includes four short double-helical elements and three loops (D, anti-codon, and T loops). Further hydrogen bonds mediate the characteristic L-shaped molecular structure. tRNAs have two regions of fundamental functional importance: the anti-codon, which is responsible for specific mRNA codon recognition, and the 3' end, to which the tRNAs corresponding amino acid is attached (by aminoacyl-tRNA synthetases). tRNAs cope with the degeneracy of the genetic code in two manners: having more than one tRNA (with a specific anti-codon) for a particular amino acid; and 'wobble' base-pairing, i.e. permitting non-standard base-pairing at the 3rd anti-codon position. Lineage: Eukaryota; Metazoa; Mollusca; Bivalvia; Ostreida; Ostreidae. The record is from RNAcentral.
GGAGAGGUAGUUUAAUAAAAGAACGUCGGUUUCAUAAUCCGAAAGUAGCAAUGGCUCUUUUCUA